CUCAGGAUGAACGCUGGCGGCGUGCCUAACACAUGCAAGUCGAGCGAUUCUCUUCGGAGAAGAGCGGCGGACGGGUGAGUAACGCGUGGGUAACCUGCCCUGUACACACGGAUAACAUACCGAAAGGUAUGCUAAUACGAGAUAAUAUGCUUUUAUCGCAUGGUAGAAGUAUCAAAGCUCCGGCGGUACAGGAUGGACCCGCGUCUGAUUAGCUAGUUGGUAAGGUAACGGCUUACCAAGGCGACGAUCAGUAGCCGACCUGAGAGGGUGAUCGGCCACAUUGGAACUGAGACACGGUCCAAACUCCUACGGGAGGCAGCAGUGGGGAAUAUUGCACAAUGGGCGAAAGCCUGAUGCAUCAACGCCGCGUGAGCGAUGAAGGCCUUCGGGUCGUAAAGCUCUGUCCUCAAGGAAGAUAAUGACGGUACUUGAGGAGGAAGCCCCGGCUAACUACGUG
RNAcentral lists this ribosomal RNA (457 nucleotides) under uncultured bacterium. RNAcentral's name for it is "bacterial SSU rRNA". It matches the Rfam family "Bacterial small subunit ribosomal RNA", at positions 23 to 507 of the family's 1533-position model. The record is from RNAcentral.